Molecule: non-coding RNA, 229 nt
Organism: Lyngbya majuscula
Lineage: Bacteria; Bacillati; Cyanobacteriota; Cyanophyceae; Oscillatoriales; Microcoleaceae
Source: Rfam
GUCAACUACCGCACACUGACCCGAUGCGGGUACAGUGUGGGCUUGAAUAAAGCCUGUUGACCAGACGGCCUUAAAAAUAAGCGCAGCCGUUAGUACCAAGAGUUAAAGUUCGUACCUUGGAAUGCGUGCCAGUUCCAAGCUCUACAACCGGGUGAUUAAACAGGCCAUUCGGGAAAGCCAGUGUGAUCCGGAAAGUACCGAGUACUAACACCGUCUAGGCAAACCUUAC